This 365-nucleotide long non-coding RNA is filed under the name Pan troglodytes (chimpanzee). RNAcentral describes it as "long non-coding RNA NONPTRT005490". Lineage: Eukaryota; Metazoa; Chordata; Mammalia; Primates; Hominidae. The record is from RNAcentral.
AAAAUUCACCAAACCCAGUGCUGGAGUGACAUACUCUGGAGUCAGAAGACAGCGAAAAGAGAAGCAGAAGCCCCGGUGGCAAGAGUCUGAAGCAGGAAGGAUGACUGUAGCCUGUGGAUUGUACUGCAGUAGGAAACUGUCCUAGCAAGGCUCCACCUUGCCCCAGCUUCAAGCUGGAAAGGAGGAGAACAUGAAACAUUGCUUGAAGACAAUGGCCGAGACAGCAGGUCCCACCCUGCACAGCCAACAGCAUCUCUCCCCUCAGCCCUGUCUCCUCUUCUGCAGUUGGGAUCUGCACAUUUAAGCCUGAAGUGUUGUGGGAUGUAUCUUGCACUGGGGCCAGGCAGCUGACCAGAGCCACCCAC